CAUUUAAGGUCACAGUGACCUUGACCUUAGAAUGAAUGACCUUGAAAUGACCAGUGGUCAUCUAAGUGUGCUUGCAAACCUUCAUGUCAAGUUUGAAGACUCUAUGUCCAAGCAUACCAAAGUUAUAACAAUUUUAACAUUUUAACAUUUAAGGUCACAGUGACCUUGACCUUCAAAUGAAUGACAUUGAAAUGACCAGUGGUCAUCUUCUAGUACUGGCCAAUCUUUAUUUCAAGUUUGAAGACUCUAGGUCCAAGCAUACCAAAGUUAUAACAUGAAAUAAGAACUUUAACAUUUUUACAUUCAAGGUCACAGUGACCUUGACCUUCAAAUGAAUGACCUUGAAAUGUCCAGUGGUUACUUACUAGUUCUGGCCAACCUUCAUGUCAAGUUUCAAGACUCUAGGUCCAAGCAUACCAAAGUUAGAACAACUUUAACAUUUUUACAUUCAAGGUCACAGUGACCUUGACCUUCAAAUGAAUGACCUUGAAAUGUCCAGUGGUUACUUACUAGUUCUGGCCAACCUUCAUGUCAAGUUUCAAGACUCUAGGUCCAAGCAUACCAAAGUUAUAACAACUUUAACAUUUUUAUAUAGCUACAGUAGGACAUUCAAUGAAAUCACGAAAUUUUGACGAACAAAGUCCCAUAACUCUGGAACGACAAUUCAGAAUUCCGUCAAAAACGAAAGGGGAUCAGGGUUUAUCAAUAUUAAGAUUGUGUUAAAAUUUGAAGAAAAUCUGUCAAAGGAUAUUUGACGUAGCGUACGACAUUAACAGACGGACGGACGGACGGACGCGGGGUAUACCAUAAUACGUCCCGUAA
Dreissena polymorpha is the source of this 822-nucleotide long non-coding RNA. RefSeq lists it as uncharacterized. Lineage: Eukaryota; Metazoa; Mollusca; Bivalvia; Myida; Dreissenidae. The transcript has 2 exons. The record is from RefSeq and is a predicted model, not a curated record.